AAAUAUGCUAAAUAAAAUGAUACGGAGGGGGUAUAAUUCAUGGGUAACACUAUUCCCCUCAGGGCCCUUAAAAUCCAAGUCUGCGUUUUCAACUAAUUUCUACUCCAAAGGAAAAAAAUUAGAUCUCCUUGUUCCUUGUAAAUCUAAUAAAAAACAUCACAAAAAAAAAAGGAACAACUUUGGUAGAGGAAUCACAGAGGCUGUUUUUCUUUACUAGACUAGCCGGUGAAGAAUUACUUAAAGGAGAUAGCUAUGGAAAUCGUAACUGAGGUUGAAAGGGGUUGCUUCUAUGGUUGGUGUCCCAAAUUGAAGUCACGUUACUUGUUGAGCAGGAGAGCCAAGAAAAUUACAUUGGAAGUGACUAAACUUCAAAACGAAGGUAACGAGCAUGCUGUUUUCUGCUAUCCUGUACCAGUACCUAGUAACAGUGAUGAGGAGGUCAUGGCCGCUUUGAGAGAUGAAAGGAUCACUAUUGUUGGGAUAUGUGGUAUGGGUGGUAUUGGUAAAACAACACUGGCUGAGAAAAUAAGAGCAACGGCGAAAUAAGCAGGGUUGUUUAAAAAUGUUGCCAUGGUUGUUUAAAAAUGUUGCCAUGGUAACUGUCAGUCAACAACAAGACAUCAAAAAAAAUAUCGCCAGAGGAGUCGGUCUAACAUUAGAAGGGGACGAUUUGUUGCAGCGUGGAGAUCGGCUGCAUUCAAGGUUAAUGCAGAAGGGCAGUCGUGUCCUUGUAAUUUUGGAUGAUGUUUGGAAGGAAGCUGAUCUUUGGAAGGAAGCUGAUCUAAAGAGGCUUGGAAUUCCCAAGAGUGCUUGCAAAUGUGUAUCAACCUCUGAAGAUAAAGCUAUGAGCACUUACCGAGUGAUGAAGCCAGGUUUCUUGUCCGAACCUGGAAGUGCUAGAACUCGAUGACGCUAACAGCAUAACUGCUCUAUGCUCUCACCCACUUCCAACUGCCUACUUCAGCAAACUUAAAAAAUUGACUGUGAUGCGUUGUGGAGAAUUGAGAAACUUGAUGUCUCCAUCAGCGGCCAGAGGUCUUCUGAAUCUCCGAACACUAUGGAUACAAGAAUGUCAAUCAAUGAAAGAAGUGAUCACAGAAGAGGAACAAGAAGGAGAAGAAAUCACGACAAAUGAGCCCUUAUUUUGGAAGUGUUGAACCUUUACAAUUUGCCAAAGCUGAGGCAUUUCAUUCUGACUAAGCAUGCUCUUGAAUUUCCAUUACUUAAAGAAGUGAAUAUUACUGAAUGCGGUGAAAUGAAGACAUUUAUCCAACAGGAAACUGUGAUUACACUGACUUAUCUGUGUUAGUAAUAUCUAGAAAUUCCUUGAUUUUGAACGCGGUUAUUAUUGUAUAUUAACUUGAGGUCAUUGGAGAUUUCUAUAAAUUUCAAAUUUUAAAUCUA
Capsicum annuum is the source of this 1404-nucleotide RNA transcript. It is a transcript of the gene named probable disease resistance protein At1g61190, with no coding region annotated. NCBI's taxonomy places the organism in Eukaryota, Viridiplantae, Streptophyta, Magnoliopsida, Solanales, Solanaceae. The record is from RefSeq and is a predicted model, not a curated record. The transcript is spliced from 2 exons.